UCCUAUUAGCCGUAAGAUGGAAGUAUAGUCGUAGCAAGGCAUAUCAAUAAGCGGAGGAAGAUUCAAUAGUCGGAGGAGGCAUAUCAAUUCGCGGAGGAGCAUAUCAAUAAGCGGAGGAUGGCAUUAAAAUUCGCAGAAGGGCAUAUCAAUAAGCGGAGGAUGGAAUUAAAAGUCGUAGAAGGGCAUAUCAAUAAGCGGAGGAGGGUAUCAAUAGUCGUAGGAGGGAAUAUCAAUACGCGGAGAAGGGUAUCAAAAGUCGGAGGAGGGAACUCUUGGCUCUCGCAUCGAUGAACAACGCGCCGAAAUGCGAUCCCUACUGUGAAUUGCAGAAUUCAGUGAAUCAUCGAAUCUUUGAACGCACCUUGCGCCCUCUGGUAUUCCGGAGGGCAUGCCUGUUUGAGUGUCAUUAAAUUCUCAACUUCAAUAGCUUUUACUAGCUUAUUGAUGCUUGGAUGUGGGAGCUUGCUGGCGUCUUAGGGAUGUUCGGCUCUCCUUAAAGUUAUUAGUGGAAACCUCUUUGUUGGUUUAUUCCUUAGUGUGAUAAUUAUCUACGCUAUGAAUAAUCUAAUGUUCCAUUGAGACUUGGGAUUUCUCAGUAGAAAUACUGGUUUGGGUACUGCAAUUAAAUUUGCUGUAUCUGUAAUCUCUCAGUAGCAAUACUGGUCUGGGUAUUGCAAUUAAAUUUGCUUUGCCUGUAGUCUCAGAGGAAAAGAAAAGUUCUGCUUUUCUAACCGUCUAUGUAUAUAGACAAUUUAUUGACUAUUUGACCUCAAAUCAGGUAGGACUACCCCGCUGAACUUAAGCAUUAUCAAUAAGGCGGAGGAAA
This 826-nucleotide ribosomal RNA is filed under the name Gymnopus dryophilus. RNAcentral describes it as "eukaryotic LSU rRNA". The stretch from base 253 to 406 matches the Rfam family "5.8S ribosomal RNA". Lineage: Eukaryota; Fungi; Basidiomycota; Agaricomycetes; Agaricales; Omphalotaceae. The record is from RNAcentral.